Molecule: ribosomal RNA, 342 nt
Filed under: Escherichia coli
Lineage: Bacteria; Pseudomonadati; Pseudomonadota; Gammaproteobacteria; Enterobacterales; Enterobacteriaceae
Description: partial 23S ribosomal RNA
Rfam family: Bacterial large subunit ribosomal RNA
Source: RNAcentral
CAAGGCUGAGGCGUGAUGACGAGGCACUACGGUGCUGAAGCAACAAAUGCCCUGCUUCCAGGAAAAGCCUCUAAGCAUCAGGUAACAUCAAAUCGUACCCCAAACCGACACAGGUGGUCAGGUAGAGAAUACCAAGGCGCUUGAGAGAACUCGGGUGAAGGAACUAGGCAAAAUGGUGCCGUAACUUCGGGAGAAGGCACGCUGAUAUGUAGGUGAAGCGACUUGCUCGUGGAGCUGAAAUCAGUCGAAGAUACCAGCUGGCUGCAACUGUUUAUUAAAAACACAGCACUGUGCAAACACGAAAGUGGACGUAUACGGUGUGACGCCUGCCCGGUGCCGGAA